RNAcentral lists this transfer RNA (69 nucleotides) under Gymnogeophagus balzanii. RNAcentral's name for it is "tRNA-Ala". It matches the Rfam family "tRNA". Rfam says of the family: Transfer RNA (tRNA) molecules are approximately 80 nucleotides in length. Their secondary structure includes four short double-helical elements and three loops (D, anti-codon, and T loops). Lineage: Eukaryota; Metazoa; Chordata; Actinopteri; Cichliformes; Cichlidae. The record is from RNAcentral.
AAGGCUUUAGCUUAAUUAAAGUAUCUGUUUUGCAUGCAGAAGAUGUGAGGUAAUACCUCGCAAGUCUUA